UUUUUUCUCAUUCUUUCAAUUAAUGAGGGUGUGAGCUUCCACUACAAAAGAUGCCAGAACUUGCACUAGGUUCCAGGCUGAGCAGCCAUCUGAGUUAGAGAAAGAUGGAACACCUACCUGCCAGUUUAUCCACAUUGACUGCAGAUGUGACAUUAGCACUUACAGUCCCUGGAAGUAAGCAUCUGAAACAGGAGCUGGAUCUAACCGUCCCCAUAGACUUGUGGCUUUUGAGAGCAGUCUAGCUGGAGCACUUCAAAUGGGUGACUGCUUCUGAAAGUUGUUCCCCUCGUGAAAAAAACAGGCUGGUACAAAUAUGAUUGCCCUUCUACGGAGCGGUUUGGAAGAUGAGACCUUCACUUUAACACAGGACUUGCUCAAGAGGAGAUAAAGUGACUGCAGACUCCUCCAGGUCUCUAAUGCAAUUGGUUUUCAAAAGCCCUCCUCCUCCUCACACCCCUUGAUGGGGUUAAACACCUCUGUGGAGACUGAAGGGAGGAAUGUUUUUAAUCUCCUUGAUUUAUUAAAAUCGUCUAAAGAUAGCCAGCUGUAACAGAUAAAACUGCUGCCCUCUGCACUUUAGAAGGAUCCUCCCCAAAACUGUUCUGCACGGAAAGUACUGGCAGUGGCUUAGUGACCUCUGGGAUGUGGUGGUACCUGCCUACCCAUUGAUGGCCAAAUCCAGCCCUGGCCAACUUUCAGCAGGGCUGCCUUCUGGCUCUCACAUUCCCCCAUCACUUUGCUCAUGGAGAUCUCAAUGGGGUUGGGCACCAAGCUUGCUGGGAAAACUGCUCCCAGGAGGAUUUCAAGCUUUGGGUGAUAACGUCAAGAGGAAGGAAGGGAGAAGGUUCUGGCAAAGUGAGACAAAGCAGGGGAAGGAUUUUCCCUGAAGGGAUUUUGUACUUUUGGCUUCUCACACC
Long non-coding RNA from Gallus gallus (chicken), 917 nucleotides. The record is from Ensembl. NCBI's taxonomy places the organism in Eukaryota, Metazoa, Chordata, Aves, Galliformes, Phasianidae.